GUCAGCCUUAACAGUACCUGCUAAUUGAUUGAUACCUUUAGUUAGAGUCAGCAUUUUGAGCCACAGUCAUGGCCAACUGAGUGUUUUCCAGAUUGCACCUUUAAUCAGGUCGUUGUAUCUGCGUAGUUUUCUCAUGUUGCUGCUGCUGCCUUUGUGUGUGCAUCAUCCUUUUUUGUCCCUUCUUCUUCUGAUUUGUUCUUACUGUGCCCCUUCAUACCAGGGGA
RNAcentral lists this long non-coding RNA (224 nucleotides) under Homo sapiens (human). Its description in RNAcentral is "non-protein coding lnc-SH3BP2-4:1". Lineage: Eukaryota; Metazoa; Chordata; Mammalia; Primates; Hominidae. The record is from RNAcentral.